This is an RNA transcript of Bicyclus anynana (squinting bush brown), 1558 nucleotides long. It is a transcript of the gene named COP9 signalosome complex subunit 4, with no coding region annotated. The record is from RefSeq and is a predicted model, not a curated record. NCBI's taxonomy places the organism in Eukaryota, Metazoa, Arthropoda, Insecta, Lepidoptera, Nymphalidae. The transcript is spliced from 9 exons.
UAAUCGAAAAAUAUUUUGAAUCAAGAAAAGUGAUCAUAAAUAAUAAUGCCCCUAAAUUUAUCAGGCGUUCGUCAAUAUUUAGGUGAAUUAAGGAUUUGGGGUGGUUUACACAAAGAUCAGGCUGAGAAGUACCGCAAUGUAUUACGGGAAAUAUUACAAAAUCCAGAGGCAGAAGUAGCUGAAUGCUUAAAAGCCUUUGUGGAAGCAAUUGUAAAUGAAAAUGUAAGCUUGGUUAUAUCACGGCAGCUCCUCACUGACGUGAGCACACACUUGGCCGUGCUGCCCGACCCUGUGUCACAGGAAGUGUCACACUUUGCACUUGAUGUCAUCCAGCCAAGGGUUAUUUCAUUUGAGGAACAGGUGGCAAGCAUCAGGCAGCACCUGGCAGAUAUCUACGAGCGCAAUCAGAAUUGGAAAGAGGCUGCAAAUGUUCUUGUUGGUAUACCAUUGGAAACUGGACAGAAACAAUACUCGGUAGACUAUAAGCUUGAGACCUACUUGAAGAUUGCCCGACUGUACUUGGAAGUAGAUGACCCGGUACAAGCAGAGGCCUACGUCAACAGAGCAUCUCUGUUACAAGCGGAGACUACAAAUGAACAACUACAAAUAUACUACAAAGUGUGCUACGCUAGAGUAUUAGAUUAUAGAAGAAAGUUCAUAGAGGCAGCACAGAGAUACAAUGAGCUAUCGUAUCGCAACAUCAUCCACGACGAUGAGAGGAUGACCUGCCUUAGGAACGCUCUCAUUUGCACAGUCCUAGCCUCUGCAGGUCAACAACGCUCGCGCAUGUUGGCGACGCUGUUCAAGGACGAGCGCUGCCAGCAGCUGCCCGCCUACUCCAUCCUCGAGAAGAUGUACUUGGACCGCAUCAUCCGCCGCUCCGAGCUGCACGAGUUCGAAGCGCUCAUGCAGACCCAUCAGAAGGCGUCGACGCCGGACGGCUCGACGAUUCUGGACCGCGCGGUGUUCGAGCACAACCUGCUGUCGGCCAGCAAGCUGUACAACAACAUCACGUUCGAGGAGCUGGGCGCGCUGCUGGAGACGCCGCCCGCGCGCGCCGAGCGCAUCGCCAGCCACAUGAUCAGCGAGGGCCGCAUGAACGGCUACAUCGACCAGAUCAGCGCCGUCGUGCACUUCGAGAGUCAGUAUAUGCGAUCCUUACACUAACAGAGCUAUCACACUAGCGGUGCUCGAGCACAACCUGCUGUCGGCCAGCAAGCUGUACAACAACAUCACGUUCGAGGAGCUGGGCGCGCUGCUGGAGACGCCGCCCGCGCGCGCCGAGCGCAUCGCCAGCCACAUGAUCAGCGAGGGCCGCAUGAACGGCUACAUCGACCAGAUCAGCGCCGUCGUGCACUUCGAGACGCGUGAGAUUCUGCCGCAGUGGGACAAACAGAUCCAAAGUCUUUGCUACCAAGUCAACGGGCUCAUCGAGAAGAUUGCUGCAGCCGAACCAGAGUGGAUGGCAAAACUUAUGGAAGAAGAGAUGAUUCAGUAACUCAUGUAAAUGUAUUAAUAGUCCUAUAUAAUAAUAAACUUACAUCUAAUUACAUACUUA